RNAcentral lists this ribosomal RNA (253 nucleotides) under uncultured bacterium. RNAcentral's name for it is "partial 16S ribosomal RNA". It matches the Rfam family "Bacterial small subunit ribosomal RNA", at positions 524 to 776 of the family's 1533-position model. The record is from RNAcentral.
UACGUAGGGUGCAAGCGUUAAUCGGAAUUACUGGGCGUAAAGCGUGCGCAGGCGGUUCCGCAAGCCAGAUGUGAAAUCCCCGGGCUUAACCUGGGAAUGGCAUUUGGGACUGCAAGGCUGGAGUUUGGCAGAGGAGACUGGAAUUCCUGGUGUAGCAGUGAAAUGCGUAGAUAUCAGGAGGAAUACCGAUGGCGAAGGCAGGUCUCUGGGCUAUAACUGACGCUCAUGCACGAAAGCGUGGGGAGCAAACAGG